Molecule: ribosomal RNA, 375 nt
Filed under: Salmonella enterica subsp. enterica serovar Infantis
Lineage: Bacteria; Pseudomonadati; Pseudomonadota; Gammaproteobacteria; Enterobacterales; Enterobacteriaceae
Also listed under: 4 other names
Description: partial 23S ribosomal RNA
Rfam family: Bacterial large subunit ribosomal RNA
Source: RNAcentral
AAUCCAUAGGUUAAUGAGGCGAACCGGGGGAACUGAAACAUCUAAGUACCCCGAGGAAAAGAAAUCAACCGAGAUUCCCCCAGUAGCGGCGAGCGAACGGGGAGGAGCCCAGAGCCUGAAUCAGCAUGUGUGUUAGUGGAAGCGUCUGGAAAGGCGCGCGAUACAGGGUGACAGCCCCGUACACAAAAGCGCAUGUGCUGUGAGCUCGAUGAGUAGGGCGGGACACGUGGUAUCCUGUCUGAAUAUGGGGGGACCAUCCUCCAAGGCUAAAUACUCCUGACUGACCGAUAGUGAACCAGUACCGUGAGGGAAAGGCGAAAAGAACCCCGGCGAGGGGAGUGAAAAAGAACCUGAAACCGUGUACGUACAAGCAGU